This 840-nucleotide long non-coding RNA is filed under the name Nicotiana tabacum (common tobacco). Its description in RNAcentral is "long non-coding RNA (NTAB_LNC004971)". Lineage: Eukaryota; Viridiplantae; Streptophyta; Magnoliopsida; Solanales; Solanaceae. The record is from RNAcentral.
UACCUGAUUGCAUUCCCUCAUAAGGCUCUCACAUAUUAUAUAUAGGCAAGGGGUACUCUAUGAAUUGAGGGAGACAGAUUUUACACUGGACUCACACACGAAAAAACCCUCUGAAAUUCAGAAUCCUUUUCUUCCUUUUAAGACUGAUUUUGACAUUGAGGAAAACACUCAAAAAAGUUCUAUCAAGCUGAGUCUUUUGGGGAUAUGUCUUCUGUGUUGCUUCUUGUUCUCGUUUGGCAGUGUUUGAGCUCUAGUUCUAAAGCUCGGAUCCCUGCUUGUUCCACUGUUUGUUGUUUCUCAGCUAGUAGCUGAGCCUGUUUCUUUGGAUUUCAGACCUUUAUUUGGUCAUUUCUCUGUUGUUCUCUACUUUAGGUAUGUAAAUAUUCAUUUGCAGUUUACAUAUGAAUAAAUUUUGGCUUUCUCAUGUCACAUUCAUGCUUAGUUUUCAUAAAUUUGUGGUGCUUGGUGGCCAGAUCUUCUAGUAUUUGUUCCCAGUUAAUCUUUAGUUCUUUAAAACAACAUGUUGAAAGAUGUAUUUGUCAUGUCUUUUCCCUACUUUCCCUUUGUGAGUUGAAAUCCUGAAAAGUUGAAAUCAUUUGAAUCCUAACUUUCUUUUUCUGCUUGUUUCAAUUGUGAUAAGUUGGAUAUUGAUUUGCAAGUUAGCUCUGUAGCUAUCCUUGUAAAUGCAACACUGGUUUGAAGAAUUGCAAAAUCACAUGUGCCAGAACUGAGUACCUUAGCAGAAGUUAAUGCGAUUGGAAACAACAGGAGUGCUUGUAUAGCUUUUCAAUGAAGUUACAACUGAUAAUUAGCUAGAUGCAAGGAAUCUAUAAUACUAAG